RNAcentral lists this transfer RNA (70 nucleotides) under Salmonella phage SEA1. RNAcentral's name for it is "tRNA-Asn". It matches the Rfam family "tRNA". Rfam says of the family: Transfer RNA (tRNA) molecules are approximately 80 nucleotides in length. Their secondary structure includes four short double-helical elements and three loops (D, anti-codon, and T loops). Lineage: Duplodnaviria; Heunggongvirae; Uroviricota; Caudoviricetes; Pantevenvirales; Straboviridae. The record is from RNAcentral.
GGUGCAUCGUAUAAAGGUUAUUACGGGGAGCUGUUAACUCCUUUAUCUUGGUUCGAGUCCAAGUGCGCCA